UGGGGAAUCAUGGUCAAUGGGCGAAAGCCUGAACCUGCGACGCCGCGUGAGUGAUGAAGGUCGUAAGAUCGUAAAACUCUUUUCAGGGAUCUUAACGCACAGCUGUCAACAACAGCUGUGUCUGACUCUCCCUGGAAGAAGCCCCAGCCAACUACGUGCCAGCAGCUGCGGUAAUACGUAGGGGGCGAGCGUUAUUCGGAAUUACUGGGUGUAAAGGGUAUGUAGGCGGCCCUUCAAGUCGCGUGUCAAAGUCCAGUGCUCAACGCUGGGUGUGCGCGCGAUACUGACGGGCUUGAGGGCUGGAGAGGUGAGCGGAAUUCCCGGUGUGGUGGUAAAAUACGUAGAGAUCGGGAGGAACACCAGCGGCGCAGACGGCUCACUAGACAGUUUCUGACGCUAAGAUACGAAACCUAGGGGAGCGAGCC
RNAcentral lists this ribosomal RNA (425 nucleotides) under uncultured prokaryote. Its description in RNAcentral is "bacterial SSU rRNA". It matches the Rfam family "Bacterial small subunit ribosomal RNA", at positions 355 to 774 of the family's 1533-position model. The record is from RNAcentral.